Molecule: ribosomal RNA, 421 nt
Filed under: Salmonella enterica subsp. enterica serovar Infantis
Lineage: Bacteria; Pseudomonadati; Pseudomonadota; Gammaproteobacteria; Enterobacterales; Enterobacteriaceae
Also listed under: 4 other names
Description: bacterial SSU rRNA
Rfam family: Bacterial small subunit ribosomal RNA
Source: RNAcentral
GAGCGCAACCCUUAUCCUUUGUUGCCAGCGGUCCGGCCGGGAACUCAAAGGAGACUGCCAGUGAUAAACUGGAGGAAGGUGGGGAUGACGUCAAGUCAUCAUGGCCCUUACGACCAGGGCUACACACGUGCUACAAUGGCGCAUACAAAGAGAAGCGACCUCGCGAGAGCAAGCGGACCUCAUAAAGUGCGUCGUAGUCCGGAUUGGAGUCUGCAACUCGACUCCAUGAAGUCGGAAUCGCUAGUAAUCGUGGAUCAGAAUGCCACGGUGAAUACGUUCCCGGGCCUUGUACACACCGCCCGUCACACCAUGGGAGUGGGUUGCAAAAGAAGUAGGUAGCUUAACCUUCGGGAGGGCGCUUACCACUUUGUGAUUCAUGACUGGGGUGAAGUCGUAACAAGGUAACCGUAGGGGAACCUGC